AUUGAACGCUGGCGGCAUGCUUUGCACAUGCAAGUCGAACGGCAGCGCGGGCUUCGGCCUGGCGGCGAGUGGCGAACGGGUGAGUAAUGCAUCGGAACGUGCCCAGUAGUGGGGGAUAGCCCGGCGAAAGCCGGAUUAAUACCGCAUACGACCUGAGGGUGAAAGCGGGGGACAGAAAGGCCUCGCGCUAUUGGAGCGGCCGAUGUCGGAUUAGCUAGUUGGUGGGGUAAAGGCUUACCAAGGCGACGAUCCGUAGCUGGUCUGAGAGGACGACCAGCCACACUGGGACUGAGACACGGCCCAGACUCCUACGGGAGGCAGCAGUGGGGAAUUUUGGACAAUGGGGGCAACCCUGAUCCAGCCAUGCCGCGUGCGGGAAGAAGGCCUUCGGGUUGUAAACCGCUUUUGUUCGGGAAGAAAUCCUCUGGGCUAAUACCCCGGGGGGAUGACGGUACCGGAAGAAUAAGCACCGGCUAACUACGUG
This 484-nucleotide ribosomal RNA is filed under the name uncultured bacterium. RNAcentral's name for it is "partial 16S ribosomal RNA". It matches the Rfam family "Bacterial small subunit ribosomal RNA", at positions 28 to 507 of the family's 1533-position model. The record is from RNAcentral.